AGCCUGCCAGUGACUCUGUUCAACGGCCGCGGUAUCCUAACCGUGCGAAGGUAGCGUAAUCACUUGUUCUUUAAAUAAGGACUAGUAUGAACGGCACCACGAAGGUUAUACUGUCUCCUUUCUCUAAUCAGUGAAAUUGAUUUCCCCGUGAAGAAGCGGGAAUAAAUAUAUAAGACGAGAAGACCCUAUGGAGCUUUAAACUACUAACAAUUAUUUUAACUUAACAAACCUUAAGGCUACAAAAUUAAUUUAAAUAUUCUGAUUUCUAGUUUUCGGUUGGGGUGACCACGGAGUAAAACUUAUCCUCCAUGAUGAAUUAGAACCUAUUUCUAAGCAAAAAACUACAAUUUAAAGCAUCAAAAAAUUGACUCUAUUGACCCAAUAUUUGAUCAACGAACCAAGUUACCCUAGGGAUAACAGCGCAAUCCAUUUCAAGAGUUCAUAUCGACAGAUGGGUUUACACCUCGAUGUUGGAUCAGGAUACCCAGGUGGUGCAGCCGCUACUAAUGGUUCGUUUGUUCAACGAUUAAAAUCCUACGUGAUCUGAGUUCAGACCG
This 557-nucleotide ribosomal RNA is filed under the name Phasmahyla spectabilis. RNAcentral describes it as "partial 16S ribosomal RNA". It matches the Rfam family "Bacterial large subunit ribosomal RNA", at positions 1903 to 2618 of the family's 2925-position model. The record is from RNAcentral. Lineage: Eukaryota; Metazoa; Chordata; Amphibia; Anura; Hylidae.